CCCCCUCUAGUAAAUAAAUUUUCUAGAUAGUUCGACUCUUAAGCUCUGCUAGGGUUUCUUCGCCUUCCUCAACUUUUAUUCCCUUUCUCCUCAGAUCCCGUUGUGUACUGGUCAUUAUGUCGUUAACCAUGAGUGUCUGCCCCACCCUUUAUGUACUCGGUUGUAGUUCCCUAUUUUCCUUCUCCAAAAGACCUACACCCACGCAGUUUGGGGCUGCUGAUGGAGAUUCUCUCUCUACCAUUAAUGCCCGAGUUAUUAGAGUAGUGUUCAUGGUCAGAUCCCCAUCACCUACUUUCUACCUUGCUGUCAAAGUCUUCACAAACCAACCCUUCAACAAGAAUGCUUUCCUUGACGGGGUCAGAUCUCUGUGGAAUUUCAAGCAGUGAAAGACCCAACAUCGAAGUUUCCACCUUCAAAUAAAGUAGACCGCUCAAACACUUGGAAGCCCCCUCCCCAUGGGCAGCUAAAGCUCAAUGUUGAUGUCGCCCAUUCCACCACACUUCACAGAAUGGGUUUUGGUGUUGUCAUUCAGAAUAGUGAAGGAGGAGUAGUGGCUGCCAUAUCCUCCCUUUUCGUCUAGAAAAUUCCCACCUUUAGUCAUGGAAGCCUAAGGACUCCUUCAUGCGCUACAAUGGUGUGCUUUAGAAUUCUUCCAAGUUACAUGUAUUAAAUCUUAUUGUAAAUUACUAGUAGAUAAUCUCCAUCGAACCACUUCCACUUAUCUAAUUCUGGAAGAGUUUGUUAGUGUAAUUAAACAAUCUUUGUCUUCCUUUCCUCAAGCUCAAGUUAGUUUCGUCAAUAGAGAGGAAAACUCAUUAGCCCAUGACGUUCCUAAAUUUGCUUUAGGCUUAGACAGUGAUCAUGUUUGGAUCGGGGAUGACCCUUUCCCUCUCUCUUGUAUCCGAACCUUUGUUGAUAAUUAUUAAUGGAUACCCUCCUGUUUAUUCAAAAAUAAAAAUACUUAUAGUAUACUU
Humulus lupulus (European hop) is the source of this 974-nucleotide RNA transcript. RefSeq lists it as uncharacterized. The transcript has 3 exons. Lineage: Eukaryota; Viridiplantae; Streptophyta; Magnoliopsida; Rosales; Cannabaceae. The record is from RefSeq and is a predicted model, not a curated record.